GAUUAACGCUGGCGGCGUGCAUAACACAUGCAAGUCGAACGAUGAAACUUAAAUGAUUUCUUCGGAAUGAACUUAAGUGGAUUAGUGGCGGACGGGUGAGUAACGCGUGAGUAACCUGCCUUACACAAGGGGAUAGCCGUUGGAAACGACGAAUAAUACCCUAUGAUGUUUCUAUCUCGCAUGAGAUAUUAACCAAAGUGUUAGCGGUGUAAGAUGGACUUGCGUCUGAUUAGCUAGUUGGUGAGAAAAAAGCCCACCAAGGCAACGAUCAGUAGCCGGCUUGAGAGAGUGUACGGCCACAUUGGGACUGAGACAAGGCCCAGACUCCUACGGGAGGCAGCAGUGGGGAAUUUUGCACAAUGGGGGAAACCCUGAUGCAGCGACGCCGCGUGAUUUAGAAGGCCUUCGGGUUGUAAAAAUCUUUUGUAUAGGAAGAAAAUGACAGUACUAUACGAAUAAGGUCCGGCUAAUUACGUG
Molecule: ribosomal RNA, 477 nt
Filed under: uncultured bacterium
Lineage: Bacteria
Description: partial 16S ribosomal RNA
Rfam family: Bacterial small subunit ribosomal RNA
Source: RNAcentral